Oncorhynchus gorbuscha (pink salmon) is the source of this 459-nucleotide long non-coding RNA. RefSeq lists it as uncharacterized. The transcript has 4 exons. Lineage: Eukaryota; Metazoa; Chordata; Actinopteri; Salmoniformes; Salmonidae. The record is from RefSeq and is a predicted model, not a curated record.
UUGAAUCCAGAUCCCUUCUACACCCGUAGAAGAGGCUUGAUUUGAUGUUGUGUGUUUGCCUUAUUUUUCAACUCCAACAAAUGCAAUAGUUUCUCCUGGAAUUGGAGUGGGCCUUAGCUGCCGUGGAAGGUGAACAGGAAGAUUGAUGUGGGUCCUCACCCACCCUUUAUGAGCAAACCGUAGAAGAGAGCUGCAAAGAAGUGGACAGAGCAGAGGAUACAAGGAUGGAAGACUACAUGUCAGCAACUCAACUCAAGAUUUGACAUCAAAACUAGAAUGAUGGGGUCCUACCUCACCGCCAACAUUGAGCCGUACCCCACAGGAAGACAGAAGGCUACCAAAAUAUGGGAAUCUGCCUCAGCUCACCCAUCCAGAAGGCCUUGUGAUGCUGGGGCCAGACAUCCUGCAGAAACAUCUCCAAAUGAAAAGCCUGGAGAUAUAAUCUCUGCUGGACCGGAU